RNAcentral lists this ribosomal RNA (237 nucleotides) under uncultured bacterium. Its description in RNAcentral is "partial 16S ribosomal RNA". It matches the Rfam family "Bacterial small subunit ribosomal RNA", at positions 101 to 339 of the family's 1533-position model. The record is from RNAcentral.
AACGGGUGAGGAACACGUGAGAAACCUGCCUUUCAUUCUGGGAUAACACCGGGAAACCGGCGCUAAUACCGGAUACUCCAUCUUGGCGGCAUCGCCGAGCUGGGAAAAAAUCUUGAUGAAAGAUGGUCUCGCGGCCUAUCAGCUAGUUGGUGAGGUAAAGGCUCACCAAGGCAACGACGGGUAGCUGGUCUGAGAGGGCGACCGGCCACACUGGGACUGAGAUACGGCCCAGACUCC